GGGGGGGGGGGGGGGGGGGGGGGGCGGGGGGGGGGCGGGGGGGGGGGCGCGGCUGGGGGGGGGGGGGCGGGUGGCGGGCGGGGGGGUAACACGUGAGGAGCCUGCCCUUGACUUUGGGAUAACUUGAGGGAACUGGGGCUAAUACCGGAUAGGCGCUCCUGCUGCAUGGUGGGGGUGGGAAAGUUUCGGCGGUUGGGGAUGGACUCGCGGCUGAUCAGCUGGUUGGUGGGGUAGUGGCUUACCAAGGCUUUGCCGGGUAGCGGGCCUGGGAGGGUGACCGGCCACAUUGGGACUGAGAUACGGCCGAGACUCCUGCGGGAGGCAGCAGUGGGGAAUGUUGCAGAAGGGGCGGAAGCGUGAUGCAGCAACGCCGCGUGCGGGAUGACGGCCUUCGGGUUGUAAACCGCUUUCGCCUGUUACGAAGCGUGAGUGACGGUAAUGGGUAAAGAAGCACCGGCUAACUACGUG
RNAcentral lists this ribosomal RNA (468 nucleotides) under uncultured bacterium. RNAcentral's name for it is "partial 16S ribosomal RNA". The stretch from base 49 to 468 matches the Rfam family "Bacterial small subunit ribosomal RNA", at positions 39 to 507 of the family's 1533-position model. The record is from RNAcentral.